Molecule: ribosomal RNA, 403 nt
Filed under: uncultured bacterium
Lineage: Bacteria
Description: partial 16S ribosomal RNA
Rfam family: Bacterial small subunit ribosomal RNA
Source: RNAcentral
AUUGAACGCUGGCGGCAGGCCUAACACAUGCAAGUCGAGCGAGCGGCGGACGGGUGAGUAAUGUAUGGGGACUGCCCGAUAGAGGGGGAUAACUACUGGAAACGGUGGCUAAUUCCGCAUACUAUCGGAUAACCCAUAUGGGAUUUGCUAGUAGGUGGGGUAAAGGCUAACCUAGGCGACGAUCUCUAGCUGGUCUGAGAGGAUGAUCGGCCACACUGGUACUGAGAAAGGGCCCAGACUCCUAGGGAGGAAGAAGUGGGGAAUAUUGCAAAAUGGGCGAAAGCCGGAUGCAGACAUGCCGCGUGUAUGAAGAAGGCCUUAGGGUUGUAAAGUACUUUCAGCGGGGAGGCGUUACCCGAAGAAGAAGCACCGGCUAACUCCGUGCCAGCAGCCGCGGUAAUAC